GGGCUGUAACUGACGCUGAGGAGCGAAAGCAUGGGGAGCGAACAGGAUUAGAUACCCUGGUAGUCCAUGCCGUAAACGUUGGGCACUAGGUGUGGGGGACAUUCCACGUUUUUCCGCGCCGUAGCUAACGCAUUAAGUGCCCCGCCUGGGGAGUACGGCCGCAAGGCUAAAACUCAAAGGAAUUGACGGGGGCCCGCACAAGCGGCGGAGCAUGCGGAUUAAUUCGAUGCAACGCGAAGAACCUUACCAAGGCUUGACAUGAACCGGUAAUGCCUGGAAACAGGUGCCCCGCUUGCGGUCGGUUUACAGGUGGUGCAUGGUUGUCGUCAGCUCGUGUCGUGAGAUGUUGGGUUAAGUCCCGCAACGAGCGCAACCCUCGUUCUAUGUUGCCAGCGCGUGAUGGCGGGGACUCAUAGGAGACUGCCGGGGUCAACUCGGAGGAAGGUGGGGACGACGUCAAAUCAUCAUGCCCCUUAUGUCUUGGGCUUCACGCAUGCUACAAUGGCCGGUACAAAGGGUUGCGAUACUGUGAGGUGGAGCUAAUCCCAAAAAGCCGGUCUCAGUUCGGAUUGGGGUCUGCAACUCGACCCCAUGAAGUCGGAGUCGCU
This 608-nucleotide ribosomal RNA is filed under the name Pseudarthrobacter polychromogenes. RNAcentral describes it as "bacterial SSU rRNA". It matches the Rfam family "Bacterial small subunit ribosomal RNA", at positions 731 to 1336 of the family's 1533-position model. Lineage: Bacteria; Bacillati; Actinomycetota; Actinomycetes; Micrococcales; Micrococcaceae. The record is from RNAcentral.